GUAGGUACAGCUCAGUGGUAGAGCGUGUGCUUAGCAUGCAUGUGGUCCUGGGUUCAAUCCCCAGUACCUCCA
Molecule: transfer RNA, 72 nt
Filed under: Camelus bactrianus (Bactrian camel)
Lineage: Eukaryota; Metazoa; Chordata; Mammalia; Artiodactyla; Camelidae
Also listed under: 2 other names
Rfam family: tRNA
About the family: Transfer RNA (tRNA) molecules are approximately 80 nucleotides in length. Their secondary structure includes four short double-helical elements and three loops (D, anti-codon, and T loops).
Source: Rfam by way of RNAcentral